CCUACGGGUGGCAGCAGUGGGGAAUAUUGGGCAAUGGGCGCAAGCCUGACCCAGCAACGCCGCGUGAAGGAAGAAGGCUUUCGGGUUGUAAACUUCUUUUAAGAGGGAAGAGCAGAAGACGGUACCUCUGGAAUAAGCCACGGCUAACUCCGGGCCAGCAGCCGCGGUAAUACGUAGGUGGCAAGCGUUGUCCGGAUUUACUGGGUGUAAAGGGCGGGCAGCCGGGACGACCAGUCAGAUGUGACAUCCCGCGGCGCAACCGCGGAACUGCCUUUGAAACUGUUUUUCUUGAGUACCGGAGAGGUCAUCGGAAUUCCUUGUGUAGCGGUGAAAUGCGUCGCUAUCAGG
This 348-nucleotide ribosomal RNA is filed under the name uncultured bacterium. Its description in RNAcentral is "partial 16S ribosomal RNA". It matches the Rfam family "Bacterial small subunit ribosomal RNA", at positions 338 to 701 of the family's 1533-position model. The record is from RNAcentral.